RNAcentral lists this ribosomal RNA (119 nucleotides) under Scophthalmus maximus (turbot). The record is from RNAcentral. Lineage: Eukaryota; Metazoa; Chordata; Actinopteri; Pleuronectiformes; Scophthalmidae.
GCUUACGGCCACACCGCCUGGUUCACGCCCGAUCUCGUUUGAUCUCGGAAGCUAAGAUAGGUUGGGCCUGGUUAGUACUUGGAUAGGAGACUGCCUGGGAAUACCAGGUGCUGUGGCUU